AUUGAACGCUGGCGGCAUGCCUUACACAUGCAAGUCGAACGGCAGCACGGGUGCUUGCACCUGGUGGCGAGUGGCGAACGGGUGAGUAAUACAUCGGAACGUACCCAGUCGUGGGGGAUAACGUAGCGAAAGUUACGCUAAUACCGCAUACGAUCUAAGGAUGAAAGCGGGGGACCGUAAGGCCUCGCGCGAUUGGAGCGGCCGAGAUCAGAUUAGGUAGUUGGUGAGGUAAAGGCUCACCAAGCCAAGGAUCUGUAGCUGGUCUGAGAGGACGACCAGCCAGACUGGAACUGAGACACGGUACAGACUCCUACGGGAGGAAGCAGUGGGGAAUUUUGGACAAUGGACGCAAGUCUGAUCCAGCCUUUCCGCGUGCAGGAUGAAGGCCCUCGGGUUGUAAACUGCUUUUGUACGGAACGAAAAGGUCUCUCCUAAUACGAGGGGCUCAUGACGGUACCGUAAGAAUAAGCACCGGCUAACUACGUGCCAGCAGCCGCAGUAA
RNAcentral lists this ribosomal RNA (502 nucleotides) under uncultured bacterium. Its description in RNAcentral is "partial 16S ribosomal RNA". It matches the Rfam family "Bacterial small subunit ribosomal RNA", at positions 30 to 523 of the family's 1533-position model. The record is from RNAcentral.